Haliotis rubra (blacklip abalone) is the source of this 207-nucleotide long non-coding RNA. RefSeq lists it as uncharacterized. The record is from RefSeq and is a predicted model, not a curated record. NCBI's taxonomy places the organism in Eukaryota, Metazoa, Mollusca, Gastropoda, Lepetellida, Haliotidae. The transcript has 3 exons.
UGUUGAAACUGCGAGUUAUAAAACACUGAUUAUAAUCAAAGAUUUUGUACAUCAUGUAAAUCUAAAGGCCUUACCUAUAUUGAAGAUUGAUUUCAUAUACUGUUCAUUUGUGAAUCCUAUUCACAACUAAGAGAGAGGUUUAUUACAAAAUGUGUUAAAAAGCCUUAUACUGUAUAUUCUUUAGCAAAUAUUUUCAAGAAUACUAAU